GUCUCCAUGGUGUAGUGGUUAUCACGUGGGUCUCAUAAUCCCAAGGCCGGGAGUUCGAUCCUCCCUGGGGACA
This 73-nucleotide transfer RNA is filed under the name Aspergillus niger. Its description in RNAcentral is "tRNA-Met". It matches the Rfam family "tRNA". From Rfam's summary of the family: Transfer RNA (tRNA) molecules are approximately 80 nucleotides in length. Their secondary structure includes four short double-helical elements and three loops (D, anti-codon, and T loops). The record is from RNAcentral. RNAcentral also lists the same sequence under 5 other names. Lineage: Eukaryota; Fungi; Ascomycota; Eurotiomycetes; Eurotiales; Aspergillaceae.